This 429-nucleotide ribosomal RNA is filed under the name Gemmatimonadota bacterium. RNAcentral describes it as "Gemmatimonadetes bacterium partial 16S ribosomal RNA". It matches the Rfam family "Bacterial small subunit ribosomal RNA", at positions 355 to 776 of the family's 1533-position model. Lineage: Bacteria; Pseudomonadati; Gemmatimonadota. The record is from RNAcentral.
UAGGGAAUCUUCGGCAAUGGACGAAAGUCUGACCGAGCAACGCCGCGUGAGUGAAGAAGGUUUUCGGAUCGUAAAACUCUGUUGUUAGAGAAGAACAAGGACGUUAGUAACUGAACGUCCCCUGACGGUAUCUAACCAGAAAGCCACGGCUAACUACGUGCCAGCAGCCGCGGUAAUACGUAGGUGGCAAGCGUUGUCCGGAUUUAUUGGGCGUAAAGCGAGCGCAGGCGGUUUCUUAAGUCUGAUGUGAAAGCCCCCGGCUCAACCGGGGAGGGUCAUUGGAAACUGGGCGACUUGAGUGCAGAAGAGGAGCGUGGAAUUCCAUGUGUAGCGGUGAAAUGCGUAGCUAUAUGAAGGAACACCAGUGGCGAAGGCGGCUCUCUGGUCUGUAACUGACGCUGAGGCUCGACAGCGUGGGGAGCAAACAGG